GGUCUCUGGGCCGUUACUGACGCUGAGGAGCGAAAGCGUGGGGAGCGAACAGGAUUAGAUACCCUGGUAGUCCACGCCGUAAACGGUGGAUGCUGGAUGUGGGGCCCGUUCCACGGGUUCCGUGUCGGAGCUAACGCGUUAAGCAUCCCGCCUGGGGAGUACGGCCGCAAGGCUAAAACUCAAAGAAAUUGACGGGGGCCCGCACAAGCGGCGGAGCAUGCGGAUUAAUUCGAUGCAACGCGAAGAACCUUACCUGGGCUUGACAUGUUCCCGACGGUCGUAGAGAUGCGGCUUCCCUUCGGGGCGGGUUCACAGGUGGUGCAUGGUCGUCGUCAGCUCGUGUCGUGAGAUGUUGGGUUAAGUCCCGCAACGAGCGCAACCCUCGCCCCGUGUUGCCAGCGGAUUAUGCCGGGAACUCACGGGGGACCGCCGGGGUUAACUCGGAGGAAGGUGGGGAUGACGUCAGAUCAUCAUGCCCCUUACGUCCAGGGCUUCACGCAUGCUACAAUGGCCGGUACAACGGGAUGCGACGCGGCGACGCGGAGCGGAUCCCUGAAAACCGGUCUCAGUUCGGAUCGCAGUCUGCAACUCGACUGCGUGAAGGCGGAGUCGCUAGUAAUCGCGAAUCAGCAACGUCGCGGUGAAUGCGUUCCCGGGCCUUGUACACACCGCCCGUCAAGUCAUGAAAGUGGGCAGCACCCGAAGCCGGUGGCCUAACCCCUUGUGGGAUGGAGCCGUCUAAGGUGAGGCUCGUGAUUGGGACUAAGUCGUAACAAGGUAGCCGUACCGGAAGGUGCGGCUG
This 802-nucleotide ribosomal RNA is filed under the name human gut metagenome. RNAcentral's name for it is "bacterial SSU rRNA". It matches the Rfam family "Bacterial small subunit ribosomal RNA", at positions 724 to 1520 of the family's 1533-position model. The record is from RNAcentral.